CUCGAGGAUAAUUCCUUAACCGAAGGGAAAGAAGGGAAGAGCGCCGGGGAGAGCUCGCUUUCAGGUGGGGCUUGGACUGCCCCCGGGACAAAGGCAGCUUGAGAGAAAAAGCAGUGACAUCUGGGUGCUCUUGAAGACACACUUUGAGUUUGUUUUCAGCUGGGCCUUAACCAAAGAUCCAACAGCACCGAAGGCAAGUUCUGGCUGCCAAGAAGGGAGCUGCAGGGUUGAAGCAUCCUCUCCCAGCCUCCUCCCACAGGACCAAGUCCUCACCAUCAGUUUUCUCUGUCUUUAAAAAACAACUUUUUUCUUUAUAUAUAUAUAUAUUUCAUUGAAGUAUAAUUGACUUACAAUGUUUCAAGUGCACAGCAAGGUGAUUCAGUUAUAAAUAUACACACAAUAUAAAUAUACAUAUAAAUAUACACAUAUAAAUAUAUACAUAUCAGAGAAGGCAAUGGCACCCCACUCCAGU
This is a long non-coding RNA of Bos indicus x Bos taurus (hybrid cattle), 472 nucleotides long. The record is from Ensembl. Lineage: Eukaryota; Metazoa; Chordata; Mammalia; Artiodactyla; Bovidae.